Small nuclear RNA from Polypterus senegalus (gray bichir), 107 nucleotides. The record is from RefSeq and is a predicted model, not a curated record. Lineage: Eukaryota; Metazoa; Chordata; Cladistia; Polypteriformes; Polypteridae.
GUACUUGCUCAGGCAGUACAUCAACUAAAAUUGGAGCGAUACAGAGAAGAUUAGCAUGGCCCCUGCAAAAGGAUGACACGCAAAAUCGCGGAAGCGCCUCUUUUCUU